UACGUAGGGACCGAGCGUUGUCCGGAUUCAUUGGGCGUAAAGAGCUCGUAGGCGGCUGUUCAAGUCGAACGUGAAAACUCGGAGCUCAACUCCGAGCCUGCGUUCGAUACUGGACGGCUAGAGUCUGGUAGGGGGAUCUGGAAUUCCUGGCGUAGCGGUGGAAUGCGCAGAUAUCAGGAGGAACACCGGUGGCGAAGGCGGCUCACUGGCCCGGUACUGACGCUGAGGUGCGAAAGCGUGGGGAGCAAACAGG
Molecule: ribosomal RNA, 253 nt
Filed under: uncultured bacterium
Lineage: Bacteria
Description: partial 16S ribosomal RNA
Rfam family: Bacterial small subunit ribosomal RNA
Source: RNAcentral